GCCUUUGUGGUGUAAUGGUAGCAUGUUUGGCACAUAUUCGAGAAGUUUGAGUUCAAGUCUUAGCGAGGGCA
This 71-nucleotide transfer RNA is filed under the name Stegodyphus mimosarum. It matches the Rfam family "tRNA". From Rfam's summary of the family: Transfer RNA (tRNA) molecules are approximately 80 nucleotides in length. Their secondary structure includes four short double-helical elements and three loops (D, anti-codon, and T loops). The record is from Rfam by way of RNAcentral. Lineage: Eukaryota; Metazoa; Arthropoda; Arachnida; Araneae; Eresidae.